GUGGGGAAUAUUGGGCAAUGGGGGCAACCCUGACCCAGCGACGCCGCGUGAGGGAAGAAGGCCUUAGGGUCGUAAACCUCUGUUGUGUGGGAAGAAGAGCGUGACGGUACCACACGAGGAAGUCCCGGCUAACUACGUGCCAGCAGCCGCGGUAAUACGUAGGGGACGAGCGUUGUCCGGAUUUACUGGGCGUAAAGGGCGCGUAGGCGGUCAUUUAAGUCAGCUGUGAAAUGGUUUGGCUUAACCGGAUCAUGCGGUUGAAACUGGAUGACUGGAGUGCUGGAGAGGCAAGUGGAAUUCCCAGUGUAGCGGUGAAAUGCGUAGAUAUUGGGAAGAACACCGGUGGCGAAGGCGACUUGCUGGCCAGCAACUGACGCUGAGGCGCGAAAGCCAGGGGAGCAAACGGGAUUAGAAACCCCUGUAGUCC
This 427-nucleotide ribosomal RNA is filed under the name uncultured bacterium. Its description in RNAcentral is "partial 16S ribosomal RNA". It matches the Rfam family "Bacterial small subunit ribosomal RNA", at positions 354 to 796 of the family's 1533-position model. The record is from RNAcentral.